CUGGGUUAUCAGCUCCCUCGGGAGCACCGCCCGCCCUCUGUCAUUUGCAACGGUAUUGCUUCGGCCGCUGGUCCUGCGUGCGGGUGCCCUUUGCGGGGUGCCUGGCGGGGGUCCACGGUCGGUCUCUCAACUCAUUGUAUGAAUGUGUGUGUCUGAAGCGAAAAGAAAAAACGAAAAGCA
This 180-nucleotide unclassified non-coding RNA is filed under the name uncultured fungus. Its description in RNAcentral is "sequence contains ITS1, 5.8S rRNA gene". The record is from RNAcentral. Lineage: Eukaryota; Fungi.